UGGUCACGUUGGUCACGGAGUUUUAAAGGAAGGAGAAGACACUUACCAGUAUUCCUUGCCCAGCUCCGUGGAGAUGGCAGUGAUGUCUGCCAGCUUGGCUGUGCCCAGGGAGCGAAAGAAGCUGGUUUGGCAAUCCUCGUGGCAGGUGAAGAGGCGGUCCUCUGUGAUCACCAGGCAGCAAGGGAUACAGGGGCUGGGAGCUAUGCCCUGGGGUAUGACCUGGACAUUGGCAGAAGACAGGGUAUGCAGCCCAGGCUGGUCUGGAACUUGUUAUGUAGCAGAGGAUGUAUGUAGCAUACGCCUAUCUCCCACACUGGAUUUGAAGAGAGCCACUCCACCUGACAACCUGUAUCUCCAGAAUUACCAAGCUCCCCCGGGGUUCCCAAAAACAGCGAGAAAAGAUUACAAAGCCA
Mus caroli (Ryukyu mouse) is the source of this 413-nucleotide long non-coding RNA. RefSeq lists it as uncharacterized. The record is from RefSeq and is a predicted model, not a curated record. NCBI's taxonomy places the organism in Eukaryota, Metazoa, Chordata, Mammalia, Rodentia, Muridae.